CCUACGGGAGGCUGCAGUGGGGGAUAUUGCACAAUGGGGGGAACCCUGAUGCAGCGACGCCGCGUGAGUGAAGAAGUAAUUCGUUAUGUAAAGCUCUAUCAGCAGGGAAGAAUAAAUGACGGUACCUGAGUAAGAAGCCCCUGCUAACUACGUGCCAGGAGCCUCGGUAAUAAGUAGGGGGCAGGCGUUAUCCGGAUUUACUGGGGGUAAAGGGAGCGUAGACGGGGAUGCAAGCCAAAUGCGAAAGCGUGCGGCUCAACUGCGGUAGUGCAUUUGGAACUGUAUGGCUGGAGUGCAGGAGAGGCAGGCGGAAUUCGUGGUGUAGCGGUGAAAUGCGUAGAGAUUAGGAGGAACACCAGUGGCGAAGGCGGCAUGCUGGACUGUAACUGACGUUGAGGCUCGAAAGCGUGGGGAGCAAACAGGAUUAGAUACCCGGGUAGUC
Molecule: ribosomal RNA, 442 nt
Filed under: uncultured bacterium
Lineage: Bacteria
Description: partial 16S ribosomal RNA
Rfam family: Bacterial small subunit ribosomal RNA
Source: RNAcentral